Molecule: ribosomal RNA, 1481 nt
Filed under: uncultured bacterium
Lineage: Bacteria
Description: bacterial SSU rRNA
Rfam family: Bacterial small subunit ribosomal RNA
Source: RNAcentral
GACGAACGCUGGCUGCGUGCUUAACACAUGCAAGUCGAACGCUGAAGCCUGGUGCUUGCACCGGGUGGAUGAGUGGCGAACGGGUGAGUAACACGUGAGUAACCUGCCCCUGACUUCGGGAUAAGCCCGGGAAACUGGGUCUAAUACCGGAUACGACUGCCGGACGCAUGUCUGGUGGUGGAAAGUUUUUUCGGUUGGGGAUGGGCUCGCGGCCUAUCAGUUUGUUGGUGAGGUAAUGGCUCACCAAGACGACGACGGGUAGCCGGCCUGAGAGGGCGACCGGCCACACUGGGACUGAGACACGGCCCAGACUCCUACGGGAGGCAGCAGUGGGGAAUAUUGCACAAUGGGGGAAACCCUGAUGCAGCGACGCAGCGUGCGGGAUGACGGCCUUCGGGUUGUAAACCGCUUUCAGCAGGGAAGAAGCGCAAGUGACGGUACCUGCAGAAGAAGUACCGGCUAACUACGUGCCAGCAGCCGCGGUAAUACGUAGGGUACCGAGCGUUGUCCGGAAUUAUUGGGCGUAAAGAGCUCGUAGGUGGUUGGUCACGUCUGCUGUGGAAACGCAACGCUUUAACGUUGCGCGUGCAGUGGGUACGGGCUGACUAGAGUGCAGUAGGGGAGUCUGGAAUUCCUGGUGUAGCGGUGAAAUGCGCAGAUAUCAGGAGGAACACCGGUGGCGAAGGCGGGACUCUGGGCUGUAACUGACACUGAGGAGCGAAAGCAUGGGGAGCGAACAGGAUUAGAUACCCUGGUAGUCCAUGCCGUAAACGUUGGGCACUAGGUGUGGGGGGCAUUCCACGUUCUCCGCGCCGUAGCUAACGCAUUAAGUGCCCCGCCUGGGGAGUACGGUCGCAAGGCUAAAACUCAAAGGAAUUGACGGGGGCCCGCACAAGCGGCGGAGCAUGCGGAUUAAUUCGAUGCAACGCGAAGAACCUUACCAAGGCUUGACAUACACCGGACCGUCCUGGAAACAGGUCUUCUUCUUNGAAGCUGGUGUACAGGUGGUGCAUGGUUGUCGUCAGCUCGUGUCGUGAGAUGUUGGGUUAAGUCCCGCAACGAGCGCAACCCUCGUUUCUAUGUUGCCAGCAUGUGAUGGUGGGAACUCAUAGGAGACUGCCGGGGUCAACUCGGAGGAAGGUGGGGAUGACGUCAAAUCAUCAUGCCCUUUAUGUCUUGGGCUUCACGCAUGCUACAAUGGCUGGUACAGAGAGAGGCGAACCCGUGAGGGCAAGCGAAUCCCUUAAAGCCAGUCUCAGUUCGGAUCGUAGUCUGCAAUUCGACUACGUGAAGUCGGAGUCGCUAGUAAUCGCAGAUCAGCAACGCUGCGGUGAAUACGUUCCCGGGCCUUGUACACACCGCCCGUCAAGUCACGAAAGUCGGUAACACCCGAAGCCGGUGGCCUAACCGUAAGGAGGGGGCCGUCUAAGGUGGGACUGGUGAUUGGGACUAAGUCGUAACAAGGUAGCCGUACCGGAAGG